Molecule: regulatory RNA element, 108 nt
Organism: Lachnospiraceae bacterium 5_1_57FAA
Lineage: Bacteria; Bacillati; Bacillota; Clostridia; Lachnospirales; Lachnospiraceae
Rfam family: TPP riboswitch aptamer (THI element)
About the family: Vitamin B(1) in its active form thiamin pyrophosphate (TPP) is an essential coenzyme that is synthesised by coupling of pyrimidine and thiazole moieties in bacteria.
Source: Rfam
AAGGAACAACAGGGGUGCUCGCGUAAGCGGGCUGAGAGUAAGCUGUAUCGCUUUAACCCAUAACCUGAUUUGGAUAAUGCCAACGUAGGGAGAUAUAGAAGUAAAGUG